GACGAACGCUGGCGGCGUGCUUAACACAUGCAAGUCGAACGGUGAACCUCGUCGGAGGGGAUCAGUGGCGAACGGGCGAGUAACACGUGGGCAACCGGCCCCCGGCUCUGGGAUAACUCCAAGAAAUUGGGGCUAAUACCGGAUGUUCACCGCUUCCCGCAUGGGUGGUGGUGAAAAGGGUUUCCGGCGGGGGCUGGGCACGCGGCCUAUCAGCUGGUUGGUGGGGGAGUGGCCGCCCACGGCGAGGACGGGUAGCCGGCCCUGGAGGGUGACCGGCCACCCUGCUCCUGCGACAGGCCCCAGUCUCCUACGGUCGGCAGCAGUCGGGAAUCUUGCGCAGCGGGCGGGCGCCUGACGCGGCGGCGCCGCGUGGGGGAUGACGGCCUUCGGGUUGUAAACAUCUUUCUGCAGGGCCGAGGCCAACGUGACGGUACCUGCAGAAGAAGCCCCGGCCAACUACGUG
RNAcentral lists this ribosomal RNA (463 nucleotides) under uncultured bacterium. RNAcentral describes it as "partial 16S ribosomal RNA". It matches the Rfam family "Bacterial small subunit ribosomal RNA", at positions 28 to 507 of the family's 1533-position model. The record is from RNAcentral.